This 276-nucleotide ribosomal RNA is filed under the name uncultured bacterium. RNAcentral describes it as "partial 16S ribosomal RNA". It matches the Rfam family "Bacterial small subunit ribosomal RNA", at positions 29 to 334 of the family's 1533-position model. The record is from RNAcentral.
AACGAACGCUGGCGGCAGGCUUAACACAUGCAAGUCGAGCGCCCCGCAAGGGGAGCGGCAGACGGGUGAGUAACGCGUGGGAAUCUACCUUUUGCUACGGAAUAACUCAGGGAAACUUGUGCUAAUACCGUAUGUGCCCUUUUGGGGAAAGAUUUAUCGGCAAAGGAUGAGCCCGCGUUGGAUUAGCUAGUUGGUGGGGUAAAGGCCUACCAAGGCGACGAUCCAUAGCUGGUCUGAGAGGAUGAUCAGCCACACUGGGACUGAGACACGGCCCAG